RNAcentral lists this long non-coding RNA (214 nucleotides) under Manihot esculenta (cassava). RNAcentral describes it as "long non-coding RNA (MESC_LNC001426)". Lineage: Eukaryota; Viridiplantae; Streptophyta; Magnoliopsida; Malpighiales; Euphorbiaceae. The record is from RNAcentral.
AUCAUCUAUGUUUACAUCACUGACACCUAUCCCACCAUCUUAACCUUCGAUUCAGAAGAAUUCUCAUAGUUCGGAAGAUGAGCUUCACAGGCCGGCUGAGCUCUGUCUCGUUAUUAUAGGGGAACUGAACAGGCCGAUCCCCAUAAGCAUCCCUCACUGUUCCGUCAUAGGUAGGCAUUCUGAAGAGCAAUGGAACAAGUGAAUGUUGCAAACC